This is a long non-coding RNA of Acinonyx jubatus (cheetah), 2989 nucleotides long. RefSeq lists it as uncharacterized. The record is from RefSeq and is a predicted model, not a curated record. NCBI's taxonomy places the organism in Eukaryota, Metazoa, Chordata, Mammalia, Carnivora, Felidae. The transcript is spliced from 3 exons.
AGGAACGUACACAAACUCCUGUCCGUCCCUAUCUCCACCCCUUUUGCCAGCCAUGGGUGUCAGAGUGUCAAAGUAGAACAGAUUGCUUUGGUUUGUGUAACAAGGGUUGCUAAAAUUGCAAUCUUUCCUUCACAGGCGAUUCGGGGAAUACUCCGAUAACCUCAUGCAGGCAUUUCAUAUACAGGCAAUUAUAGGAAGAUAGAUUAGAGUGUCCACAAGAAUCAUAACUUCCCUUUGCCUGAUUUAUAAGCCUUAUCCUUAUUUUUUAUAAUACCAUUUAUAACAUCAACACCAUCUAGACAGCUGUCUACGGGAGUUGGCUUCUCCAAACCAUAUGCUGGUGCCCGGCUGGCAUGGGAGAAAAGAUCCUGGAGGCAAGGUCCGUGGGAGAGCUGAUCUAAGGGAGAGGUUAUGAUAAGCUCAGGUUCUGGGGUCAGGCCUGGCUGUGUCCCAGCUCUGCCACUCAUGAGCUGUGUGAUUGUGGGCAAGUGGCUUAACCUCUCUGAGCUUUAGUUUCCUCUUCUGUAAAUAUGGAGUGACAGUCAGUACUUACUACACUGCAGGAUUGUCAUCUGCAGUAAAUGAGCUGAAUCUUGUAAAUUGAUUAGCAUCGUACAGGAUACAUAGUUAGCAUUCAGUAAAUAUUAGCUAUCAUGAGAAAAGCAGAAUACAGUGAUAGAAAUCAGACCUAAAACCUUAGAGGCUUUCAGGGGGGGAAAUAAUUCAUUCUCCCAAAUAUCUGUUCAUUUGUAUGAUGUCAGCAGACACCCACCUCAGAUGUAGUCCCAAUUAUUUUUGCCAUGGUGGGAAAAACUCUUUCCACUGCCUUUUCUUCUCUCUUCCCUUCAUGUUCUCCAGCUCUUUCCCUGUGGCCAGGCUGAGUGCCGACUUGGCCAUCAUUAGCCUGUCCUUUCUCACCCUGGUGCUCGUCACAUGGAGCCUGGGUCCCUGGUGACCUCUCCCUGUGGUUUCCAGUCUGUGAAGAUGAGAAUGAGACACUGGAGAAGACAAAGGGCGUCCACUGCCCUCAGCAUUAUGAGUUAGAAAGCACUGAUGCCCUGGGGCAGCAGGAAUACUGUGACAACCUCCACACUGCCCUUUGGCUCCUUUCCCAUAGGAAGCUACAACUUGCCCCGCCUGACAAGUUCUUUAUGCUUUAAACAAAAGAGAUUAUUGGAAGGAAAGACAUGAGUGUCUCAAAGUGGUAUUUUGGUACAAAAGGAUGUCUUAAAAUAGCAUCCUUACGCUUCCCAUUGGGGCAGGAAGGACCUGAGGAGAGAGAACAUUAAGUCUAGAAAAGCCAAAAUGAUUGCUGGGCAUUAUCGUCCCCUGAUGGUAACAGGGAGGCCCUAAGUGACCGGUUGAUGGCUUCUCUCUGGGACCCCAGCCUCUGCUUCUGCGUGCCCUUUCCCUGUUGUCAGAUGCAUACAUCGAGUCCCCUCUGUGUUUCCUGCCCACCAAAGGACAGGUGACUGAACCCUUCCAAGACAAAUCACCCAGCUACCAAACUAUAGAGAAGUCUGGACGUCUGCAGGUGUAGCAGUCAGCAACAACUCAAUCAUGUAUUCAUUCAUUUGUUCAACAAACAUUUAUUAGACACCUGCUGUCUUCAGAGAUUAAAAAAUAAGCAAGUGCAACCAGUGAAUUCUUGUGGAGCUCAAGCCCAGGUGGGGAAAGAGUUGCUGAAAUGGACAAAUGAGAAGAGUCCAUUUAGACCAGAAAAAUCCUGUGAAUGCAAUGACAUCUGCCCAUACUAACCUGUGAGAGGGUGGGAGUAAAUGGGAGGCACCCUCCCAAACUGGGGAGGAAAAGAAAGGCUUCCAAAAAAAGGGAUAGUUAGUCCAGGUAGUCCAAAAGGCAGAGAUGAGGGAUAGUGCCCAGGACAAGGGCAAACCUAUAAAAGCUUAAGAGAACAUAGUAUCUCUAAGAAACCAAAGUAUUUGGGGUAGAAGGAGUAUUUGCACUGUAUGUGUGUGCAUUGGGAUGGGGACAGUGCCACAACAGAGUGGCAAAAGAUCAGGCUGAAAGAAAAAAAGGAAAGAAGGGAAGAGAAAGAAAACUGAAGGCCCUCUCUGCUUUACUUAGCAUUUGUCCUUUCUGCUCAAAGCAAUGAGAGACCACUGAGAGACCUAAACAGAAGAAUGCCACUUUUGUGUUAUUAGAUGUGAAAAAUGCACAAGUCUUACUGCCCUGUGGUGGCCCAAGCAAGUCUCAUCAGAAUGAAGGUCAGAUUUCUGAGCGUGCACUUCAAGGACCUUUGCAACUUGACAUUUCCAGUCUCUCCUCCCCUCUGCCAUGCAUCUCCAGUGGUAGAACAUUUACUCCUUCCCUCAACAUGUCAGUCAGUUUGUGUUGGUUAUCUAUUGCUGUGGAACAAACAGUUAAAAGCUUAAAAAAAAACAUUUAAAAUACCUCAACUGGUUUCCGAGGUCAGGAAUCCAGGAGUGCCUUAGCUCGGUGGGUCUGGCUCAGAGUCUUUCAUGAAAUGGUAGUUAAGAUGUCAGCUGGGGCAUCAGUCAUCUGAAGGCUUGACUGGGGCUGGAGGAGCUGAUUCCAAGAUGGCGUACUCCAUAGCAGUUGACUAAGAUGCCUCAGCUCAUUACUGGCUGCAGGCAGGAAGCCUCAGUCCUCACCCUGUAGACUUCUCCACAGUGCUGCUUUUGUGUUCUUGUGACUUCCCCUGAAAAAAACAACUCAAGAGAGAAAACAAAGAAGAGGCCAAAAUACCUUCUGUGACCUAAUCUUACACAUCCCUAUUGUAUCUACCAUAUUCUGCUUAUUAGAAACAAGUCGCUAAGUUCUUCUCAUUCUCAAGAAAAUAGGAAUUAUGCUUCAGCUCUUUAAAGGAAGAGUAUCAGGGUGCCUGGGUGGCUCAGUCGGUUAAGCGUCUGACUUCAGCUCAGGUCAUGAUCUCUAGAUUUGUGAGUUCAAGCCCCAUGUCAGGCUCUGUGCUGACAGCUCAGAGCCUGGAGCCUGCUUCAGAUUCUGU